RNAcentral lists this ribosomal RNA (253 nucleotides) under uncultured bacterium. RNAcentral describes it as "partial 16S ribosomal RNA". It matches the Rfam family "Bacterial small subunit ribosomal RNA", at positions 524 to 776 of the family's 1533-position model. The record is from RNAcentral.
UACGUAGGGUGCAAGCGUUGUCCGGAAUUAUUGGGCGUAAAGAGCUCGUAGGCGGUCUGUCGCGUCUGCUGUGAAAACUCAGGGCUUAACCCUGGGCCUGCAGUGGGUACGGGCAGACUAGAGUGCGGUAGGGGAGGCUGGAAUUCCUGGUGUAGCGGUGAAAUGCGCAGAUAUCAGGAGGAACACCGGUGGCGAAGGCGGGUCGCUGGGCCGUAACUGACGCUGAGGAGCGAAAGCAUGGGGAGCGAACAGG